GUGAAUCAUCGAAUCUUUGAACGCACAUUGCGCCCCGUGGCAUUCCGCGGGGCAUGCCUGUCCGAGCGUCAUUGCACCCCUCAAGCGUGGCUUGACGUUGGGCGCGGCCGACCGGCCCGCCCCAAAGGCAGUGGCGGCGCCGCCCGGCCCCGAGCGCAGUACGACCCUCGCUCCGGGACCGCGCGGCUGCCCGCCAGGAACCCCCUCGUGGUUGACCUCGGAUCAGGUAGGGAUACCCGCUGAACUUAAGCAUAUCAAUAAGCGGAGGA
RNAcentral lists this unclassified non-coding RNA (269 nucleotides) under Parauncinula sp. RNAcentral's name for it is "partial contains 5.8S ribosomal RNA, internal transcribed spacer 2, and large subunit ribosomal RNA". The stretch from base 1 to 71 matches the Rfam family "5.8S ribosomal RNA", at positions 84 to 154 of the family's 154-position model. Lineage: Eukaryota; Fungi; Ascomycota; Leotiomycetes; Helotiales; Erysiphaceae. The record is from RNAcentral.